RNAcentral lists this ribosomal RNA (301 nucleotides) under uncultured bacterium. Its description in RNAcentral is "partial 16S ribosomal RNA". It matches the Rfam family "Bacterial small subunit ribosomal RNA", at positions 509 to 807 of the family's 1533-position model. The record is from RNAcentral.
CAGCCGCCGCGGGAAUACCGAGGGUGCGAGCGUUAAUCGGAUUUACUGGGCGUAAAGCGUGCGUAGGCGGCUAAUUGAGUCGGAUGUGAAAUCCCCGAGCUUAACUUGGGAAUUGCAUUCGAUACUGGUUAGCUAGAGUGUGGGAGAGGAUGGUAGAAUUCCAGGUGUAGCGGUGAAAUGCGUAGAGAUCUGGAGGAAUACCGAUGGCGAAGGCAGCCAUCUGGCCUAACACUGACGCUGAGGUACGAAAGCAUGGGGAGCAAACAGGAUUAGAGACCCCAGUAGUCCCUGUCUCUUAUAC